CAAAAAUGUUGUAGAAUUUGCAAAUGCUGUGAGUGAAGAAAGCCAAGAAAAAAUUGCAAAAUCUUCAUACUUCGACUUACAGGAGAGUCUCGUACAGGUGGAAAUAAUACCAUCAGAUGCCAUAUUUAUGUAUGCUUUCCGGUGUGAUGAUGUAUCUGUUGGUUAUGAGGUGAAGAAAGGAGAUACCGUACCAUACACAAGGGUUAAGUUUGAUGAGUUUGAACCAGAAGAUGGUUUCAUCACAUUGUUGCUUUCACCCAGAAAGCUCCUUUAAGUUUACAGCUUUGCAGAAACACAAGCGAGACAAAAUUUGUUUGGCUCAAGAAUCUGCAUGUGUGCAGAUGAAGAUCUUUGCUUCUGUUUAAGUUGAUCCAUGAUCUAGCAUACUCGUAUUUGGUGCGACUAGACACACGGAAGUGGACUGGAAAAUGGUUCAAGCUAAAAAGGGCAUAACUUUCAUUACGUUUGAAGUUAUACGGGGAUAAGUAAUGGACACAUACGCCUCAACGAGCCACAUGAAUGGACAAAUGCUAUAGGCGGGUUUUCUGACUCUCAGCACCCAAUUUCGACAUCUAGAGCUCCAAUUUUGAACUCAAGGCUGUUAAUUUCAAGGAACCCUUGGAGCGGUUACAGGUUGCGCCUGGUGGCACUUGUCGUUCAUGGUCCAAGUUACAUACCUUUUAUUGGAAUUUAUAACCAAUGAAG
Long non-coding RNA from Helianthus annuus (common sunflower), 705 nucleotides. RefSeq lists it as uncharacterized. The transcript has 5 exons. The record is from RefSeq and is a predicted model, not a curated record. NCBI's taxonomy places the organism in Eukaryota, Viridiplantae, Streptophyta, Magnoliopsida, Asterales, Asteraceae.